Pelobates cultripes (western spadefoot toad) is the source of this 300-nucleotide non-coding RNA. The record is from the annotation of a GenBank genome assembly. NCBI's taxonomy places the organism in Eukaryota, Metazoa, Chordata, Amphibia, Anura, Pelobatidae.
GCUGGAACGCACGCGAACACCGGCUGAUCAGAAGGUCUGCAAUUAAGAAGCAUACUUAAGCGGCGACACAAGGACAAAGUCCCAGAUCCAUGAAGAAGUUCAUACAUUGGACAUUAUUUGUGGGACUUUUAGUUUGAUUUUUAUUGUCUCCCUCCCUUGUCGUUUUAUUGUUCCUGUUGCCGGGCUGCUGUUUGCUGUUCCACCUACCUUCCGCAGUAUACUGCUCCAGGUCCACUCUGGGUGGAGAUAAGCUUGAACUCAUUGUACUCUGUAAGUGCAAUUUUAAGCAUUAAAGUGCCU